CAACCUUCCCGCGUACCGCACCGCCGUCAGCCCGCUCCUCCGUGGCAUCGAGGUCGGCCUCGCCCACGGCUACCUCCUCGUCGGCCCCUUCGCGCUCACCGGCCCGCUCCGCAACACGCCAAUUCACGGCCAGGCGGGAACCCUCGGCGCCAUCGGCCUCGUCUCCAUCCUCAGCGUCUGCCUCACCAUGUACGGCGUCGCCUCCUUCAACGAGGGCGCGCCCUCCACCGCGCCCGCCCUCACGCUCACCGGCCGCAAGAAGGAGGCCGACAAGCUGCAGACCGCCGAAGGCUGGUCCCAGUUCACCGGAGGCUUCUUCUUCGGCGG
Molecule: long non-coding RNA, 327 nt
Filed under: Triticum aestivum (bread wheat)
Lineage: Eukaryota; Viridiplantae; Streptophyta; Magnoliopsida; Poales; Poaceae
Description: long non-coding RNA (TAES_LNC028423)
Source: RNAcentral